This 1641-nucleotide long non-coding RNA is filed under the name Piliocolobus tephrosceles (Ugandan red Colobus). RNAcentral describes it as "lncRNA (ENSPTEG00000007390.1)". The record is from RNAcentral. Lineage: Eukaryota; Metazoa; Chordata; Mammalia; Primates; Cercopithecidae.
UGAAAAUAUCGAAAAUAAUGAAAAUAUGACAGAUUGUGAUACGGAUAACAUCAAUACAUCCAUUGGGGGUGAUAAAAGUGAUUAUCACCAUGAUGAUUCUGUGGAUGAUCCAAAUGCUAAUAUUUUAUUAUCACCAAAUGGAUAUAAAGGUAGUUUACUAUUAAACUUUUUUUAUGCAUAUUUUUAUAACUCUAAAAAUCAACUGUUAGCUGUUUUGUCAUAUGAUCGAACAAAAAUAGAAAAUGGAAAUGAUUUCAAAACUGUGAAGUUCACGUUUAAAAAGAUGGAGGCACUAGGUAUACUGUCAAACAAACUACGUACCCAAUUCGAACCAAGACUGCGUAAAAACGUCGAAAUAUCAAUGACAUUUAGUUCCGAAUUAAUUAAGAACAAUAUUUGUGAAGUGAUAAAAAAUAUUAUAAGUAUUGAAAAUGAUACAUUAGGUAAUGAUAAAAAAAAUAUAAAAAAAUAUAUAGAAAAUAAUACAAUUUAUUUAAAUAAAUUAAAAAAUGAUAAUUUUUUAGAUGAACCAUUGAAUAAUAUAAUAGAAGAUGAUGAAAAUAAAAGUAAACAAAAACUUGAAAUAAGAAAAGUUAGUUUUGCUACUACUAAGGAAAUAUGUUUAUUAAAUAAAGAUAAUUUGUCAGUACGUACUAAAACAUUAUUAUUAGAAGAAUCCCUAAACAAAAUGCAUCGUACAGAAGGUGUUGCUUUAGAAAAUAAAAAGAAUGAUUAUGAAGUUGUUCAUGCUAUUAAUGGAAAUAGUGAUAAUAAUAUACUGGAAAUAAAUGAAUAUACUCAUGAUAAAAAAACUAAAAUAACAACUGAUAAAGUGUUAGCAUUAACACAGAAAGAGUUAGCAGAAAAUUCAAAUUAUGAAUUAAUAAUAAAAAAGAAAGAAAUAACAGGAGAAAUGGAUACAUACAGUGCUAAAAAUGAGGAUACAUGUACAGGCAUAGAUGAGAAUACGGAUGUAGAUGUAGAUGUAGGUGUAGAUGUAGAUGUAGAUGUAGAUGUAGGUGUAGGUAUAGAUAUAGGUAUAGGUGAAAAUACAGAUAUAGUAGAAGAAAAUACAAAUAAUAAAAAUAACAAUAUAACACAACAUAUGGUGUUAAAAGUUAGCUAUGCAACAACAAAAGAUUUAUAUAAUGGCAGUUAUACAAAUAUUGACGAAGAUAAUAUUAAUAGAGUAUAUAAAAAUCAUAGUCCUAAUAAAUAUAACGAUAUUUAUAAAAAAAAAAAAGAAAAUUUAGUAGUAUAUAACAAUCAAGAAAAUAUAGGAGACAUAAAAAAUUGUUCAUUUCUUAUUGAUAAAAUACAUGAUAUAAAAAAUAAUAGUGAUAAUACAUAUAUUGUUAAUAAUGUUUAUGCUGAUUCGGGAGAAGAAGUAAAACAAACAAUGCAUAAAAAUGACUCAGUAAAUGUAAAUAAUGUGAUAAAUAUGGAUACAGUUAAUUUAUUUAGUAGCGAUAAUACAGUUGAAACAUAUCAAGAGAUGAAUGACACUGGUAUUGGUUGCCGGUAUGGGGCUGCUGGGAAUGGUAAAAUUUAUGGACACAUAAUUAAUACUACAUGUAUAAACACAACUAGUCAUUAUAACAACAUAAGUGGUGUUAAUAACAACAUAAGUAAUGGUGAUAA